This 73-nucleotide transfer RNA is filed under the name Candidatus Woesearchaeota archaeon. Its description in RNAcentral is "tRNA-Thr". It matches the Rfam family "tRNA". Rfam says of the family: Transfer RNA (tRNA) molecules are approximately 80 nucleotides in length. Their secondary structure includes four short double-helical elements and three loops (D, anti-codon, and T loops). Lineage: Archaea; Nanobdellati; Candidatus Woesearchaeota. The record is from RNAcentral.
GCUUCCGUAGCUCAGCCAGAAGAGCACCAGCCUUGUAAGCUGGGGGUCGAGGGUGCAAAUCCCUCCGGGAGCU